AUCGCUUCUCGGCCUUUUGGCUCAGAUCAAGUGUAGUAUCUGUC
RNAcentral lists this small nuclear RNA (44 nucleotides) under Salmo salar (Atlantic salmon). RNAcentral describes it as "U2 spliceosomal RNA". It matches the Rfam family "U2 spliceosomal RNA", at positions 1 to 44 of the family's 192-position model. From Rfam's summary of the family: U2 is a small nuclear RNA (snRNA) component of the spliceosome (involved in pre-mRNA splicing). The record is from Rfam by way of RNAcentral. Lineage: Eukaryota; Metazoa; Chordata; Actinopteri; Salmoniformes; Salmonidae.